Molecule: long non-coding RNA, 1065 nt
Organism: Oncorhynchus tshawytscha (Chinook salmon)
Lineage: Eukaryota; Metazoa; Chordata; Actinopteri; Salmoniformes; Salmonidae
Source: Ensembl
AAUGCAGUCUGGAGGCAUGGUAAAUGUCCAGGUUUUGCUAGUGCAUGUAGGGUGUCGUUUGUUGAGCGCAUGAAUAAUGGAGGUUGUUUAAGAUGAAAUUGAAGUCUUUAGAAGAUGGACGCCUCUCUCCUGUGGUCUAAACCGAGGUGUAGUAGGAUCUAUGCUACUGAACUGUCUAGUCACAGCCCCUUCAAGGUCUGGAGAACUGGCUGCUCCCUCCCCCCUUGUGCAUACUUCCUGAGGUGGACUCUUAAAAUACUCAGGUGCUAUAUGGGUGGAUGCUGUGCUGGUGUGUGCAAACCAUGCUAUUUAGUAGCUGGAGAUGGUGGCACCAGAGGAGACUGCCCGGUUGAAAGCCUCCUCGUAUCUGGCGGGACAACUGACGAGGUGUCCCACUCCCAGUGAGCGGUUGGGAUUCAGGAAGCAUGGCCAAGAUAGGACACCUUGCAGCUAAACGGACCUGCUGGUGCCAGUCAAGCCUGGUUUGGAGAGGAGCCUAUGGGUGGGGUCUACAGAUGUGGGCGAGCAACACAGUAUGGAGGCCUCCAUGGGCCCUAACCUUGAGGAGUAGCUUCAGUACACAGGUGAGGGAGUGAAGCACAACCGGUCAAACUAUUGAGCAUUCAUUUCAUGUUCUUCCACUCAACCACAAACUGAAAGAACCUGCAGCCAAUAGUGUUAUUCAGUGCUCCCUAUGCUCUUGGUGUAAACCUAGGGUGGUGUAGUUGGAUCGAUGGUACUGAACUGUCUAGUCACAGCCGCUCUCGGUCGGGGUGUGAGGCAGGAACUAUGGAAUUAGGGGUGCUGAACUAAAAUUGGUAACCCUUAAUUUCGAUACUCCCAAAUAAGUUUGUAGAUGCUCAGAUCAAUUAACUCAACAUUUAUACGAUCCACUAACCCUAAACUUAACCCUCUGCCAUAUAGGCCUACUCGGAUGUGUUUAUGGGCCUGUUUGAGGUGUUUUGCUUUAGUCCUCAAGUCAUGGUUAUAUAUUGCGAUUGGGCUAGUAAGUUUAUUUUGCAAGUUUGUUCUAUUCCCAACUAUUUUCUGUCAACUGUAAAUGCA